RNAcentral lists this RNase P RNA (380 nucleotides) under Gammaproteobacteria bacterium. RNAcentral's name for it is "RNase P RNA component class A". It matches the Rfam family "Bacterial RNase P class A". From Rfam's summary of the family: Ribonuclease P (RNase P) is a ubiquitous endoribonuclease, found in archaea, bacteria and eukarya as well as chloroplasts and mitochondria. Lineage: Bacteria; Pseudomonadati; Pseudomonadota; Gammaproteobacteria. The record is from RNAcentral.
UGAGUUGGCCGAGGCAGUCGCUGUUUUGCAUUAGCAAGAUGGAGGAAAGUCCGGGCUCCAUAGGGUAAAGUGCCAGGUAACGCCUGGGAAGCGUGAGCUUACGGAAAGUGCCACAGAAAAUAAACCGCCCCGUGUCUUUUGUGAUGCGCGGUAAGGGUGAAAAGGUGCGGUAAGAGCGCACCGCGCAAUUGGCAACAGUUGUGGCAAGGUAAACCCCACUCGGAGCAAGACCAAAUAGGAGCUUACGUGGAUACGGUUAAACGUAUUCAUACAGUGUGACCCACACUUAGCUCGGGUAGGUUGCUUGAGGUGUCUGGUGACAGACAUCCCAGAUAAAUGACUGUCCAUGACAGAACCCGGCUUAUUGGCUAACUCAGCUU